AAGUCGUAACAAGGUUUCCGUAGGUGAACCUGCGGAAGGAUCAUUCGUGUAAGAUCCGGCAAAGAGACUUCGGUCUUGGAGCUACUUUAAACCAUACACUGUGAACAUUUUAAACUACAAAGGUGACCAUGUAGCGUUGGUGGUGGCUCUUGUUCCUUUACGGGGACUUCCACUGCCAACCAGAAGCUGGCUCCUGGGGCAUGCUAACCAUAUUUUCAAUUUGCCUAAAAAACUUUAAAUUAUUACAACCUUUAACAAUGGAUCUCUUGGCUCCU
RNAcentral lists this unclassified non-coding RNA (275 nucleotides) under fungal sp. Its description in RNAcentral is "partial internal transcribed spacer region". The stretch from base 1 to 46 matches the Rfam family "Eukaryotic small subunit ribosomal RNA", at positions 1786 to 1831 of the family's 1831-position model. Lineage: Eukaryota; Fungi. The record is from RNAcentral.